This is a long non-coding RNA of Chinchilla lanigera (long-tailed chinchilla), 743 nucleotides long. RefSeq lists it as uncharacterized. The record is from RefSeq and is a predicted model, not a curated record. NCBI's taxonomy places the organism in Eukaryota, Metazoa, Chordata, Mammalia, Rodentia, Chinchillidae. The transcript has 4 exons.
UGGGAGAGCAGAGGAAGCUAAGAAGCUGCGGAAGAAUAGAUGUGUAACUUGGUCUAGUCAGAAACAGUGUUAUAGCUCCCUGUUUGGAAAACAGUACACACAAGUUUAAAAAUUACAUUGCUUCUCUCAGACUACUACUGGCAUAGUUUGAAGUACUUUUACGAAUAUAGGAGAGUAUUCAGUAGAGGCUUGCUGAAUUUAGUUCUAUUUAAAUGCCUCAUGACGCCAAGGAUCUAGGGCCACUUUGUGAAGAAAAAUUCCAUUUCUUUUCCGCAAGGUAUUUUGGGAUCUCCACCAGUAGUGGUAAUGAAGCAGUGAGAAUAAGGCUGUUAAGCUUGGAACACUGAGAAACCCGCUUGUUUUGGAUGAGUUCCCCUCUUGGAGGACCAGCUCCAAAGCCUGCAAAGCAGGAACCACCUUCAGACAAACAGGUUGGCAACUGGUGAUACUUCAAUGGAUGCGAAUACGCACAUAUCUCUUAGAGAGCUUCAUGACAUUAGAACCAUCAAGAGCAUUGAAAUUCAAGGACAGCAGAGUUUUAUGCAUGUGCUUCUCAUUGAGAACUAAGGCUUCCGUUUCAUGACACAGAGAUUCAAAGUACAUCAUCAUAUCAUUUAUGAACAGAGAAAAUUUAAGAUUUCUCCACUAUUUGUGGAAUUUUCAGCAGUCAUUAGUUCUAUUUGUUCUUGCCUACAAUAAAACUUAAAUGAUGUUGUUUUGCAAUCCUUUAAUAAAACGUUAAA